Molecule: ribosomal RNA, 622 nt
Filed under: uncultured bacterium
Lineage: Bacteria
Description: bacterial SSU rRNA
Rfam family: Bacterial small subunit ribosomal RNA
Source: RNAcentral
AGUCGUACGAGAAGCCCGAAGCUUGCUUUGGGCGAGUAAAGUGGCGCACGGGUGAGUAACGCGUGGGUAAUCUGCCUUUGAAUUCGGGAUAACACUUCGAAAGGUGUGCUAAUACCGGAUAACAUCGAUUUACCUUAGGUUAAAUCGAUCAAAGAUAGCCUCUACAUGUAAGCUAUUGUUUGGAGAUGAGCCCGCGUACCAUUAGCUUGUUGGUGGGGUAAUGGCCUACCAAGGCCGCGAUGGUUAGCUGGUCUGAGAGGAUGAUCAGCCACACUGGAACUGGAACACGGUCCAGACUCCUACGGGAGGCAGCAGUGAGGAAUUUUGCGCAAUGGGGGCAACCCUGACGCAGCAACGCCGCGUGAGUGAAGAAGGCUUUCGGGUCGUAAAGCUCUGUCAAGUGGGAAGAAACUGUUUAGUGUAAACAGCACUAGGCACUGACGGUACCACUGAAGGAAGCACCGGCUAACUCCGUGCCAGCAGCCGCGGUAAUACGGAGGGUGCAAGCGUUAUUCGGAUUUACUGGGCGUAAAGGGCGCGUAGGCGGUUUGAUAAGUCAGUCGUGAAAGCCCGGGGCUUAACCCCGGAAGUGCAAUUUGAAACUGUCAGGCUUGAGUAUGGU